Molecule: long non-coding RNA, 2031 nt
Organism: Triticum aestivum (bread wheat)
Lineage: Eukaryota; Viridiplantae; Streptophyta; Magnoliopsida; Poales; Poaceae
Exons: 2
Source: RefSeq, a predicted model, not a curated record
CAGUCCUUUGUAAGGUGAGAGAGCGUUCUCCUCCUCCUCCGCAGCCCCUCUAUCAUCGUCUCCCACAAAUCGCCGCCACCGACCAACUCCUAACUCCCACACCUCGGCGCCGGCCCUCCCCUUCCCCUCCUCUUACCUCGCAGCUUCGGCAGCUGUCGGAUCCGCCGAAUCCCCCACCGAUCCAUCCCUCUAGCAGCACAUCUCUCCCUCUCUCAUGUGACCCCUCGUGUCGCGGCCAACGCCGGCCAAUUCCGCCAACGUCCACCACUACGCAACAGACUCAUGAGCUGCUCUCCGACCCCUCCGUCUGCCAAGAUGGCUGGAUCCGCCGCUCCCGGUCACCGGUGCUCGCCCCGCAACACCUCGCCUGUGGCUGGGGUUACAGCCAUGGGGUCGCGUACAUCACGGGCGUGUCUCCGGUGGUGACUCUCCGUCGGAAAAAGUGCCCCCUCACGCCCUCUCCACCUCUUGGAUGGCGCUCCCUAGCUCGGCGCGCUCGCAUGCGUUGGACUGGACGCCGGCGAUGCGUCCUCCUCUGUCACGUCUCCGGCGCAGCUAUGCACAUGUGGCGACCUCCUCUGCCUCGCGAAGCCGGUGGCCAACCUUCGCUGCGAGCGCUGCAUCGCCUACAAACCGAGCAGAACAUGGGUGUUCUGGAGCAGAUGCUACUUGGUAGAGCAAGCACAGGCGCCAUGAAAGGGGAAGAAUAAGAGUUCUUGCACAUAACAUGUUUGAUGAAAUACAGGCACCACAAAUUGAACUCAUCUCCAAGCUAUGCUUUAUGAGAGGCUACAGAUUGUUACAUUAUUUUGUCCAGUCCAUGAUGCAAGAUUCAUUCAUUUGUGAUUGUUGCAAUAACAAUUAUUGGCCAAAAGCAUGGUUGUGUGUGGUUCCUGCUGCUGUACUGUGGUAUUGGUUUUCUUCCGCCUGCCUGAUGUGGUGAUGCUUUGGUGUGCCUAUUGUUCGCAGAGAUUAACCAAUAUUUGGGAGAUGUGGUGGCUCACCCGAUCGGAAACAGAACAAGAUGAAGGAGCUUAAGUAUAGCCACAUCAGGGUGACCUGGGAGGAAGGAAGUUUACGUGUGAUAGGAGAUGAUCGCCAUAAUCUGGGUGCUAAAGGCCUUUGGAAACAGAACAAGAUGAAGGAGCUUAAGUACAGCCACAUCAGGGCGACCUGGGAGCAAGGAAUUUUACCUGUGAUAGGAGAUGAUCGCCAUAAUCUGGGUGCCAAAGGCCCAGGGGAUUAUAACAUGGUUUUUUUAUAGAAAGGUUGUGAAAACCUUCCGGCAUUGCCACAGGAAGCUUACACAUCUGCUCAUGUCAUAGUGUUCUCUGUUUUUGUUGUUGUUGCUGCAUGAUGAUUAUGUUGUAGCUUACAGUACCAGGCAACAAUCUUCUGUUGAUUACAGUGCCAAAAACUCCAGCAGGCCGCAGGACUACUACGCCGCUGGUGCCUAUCAACGUCGCUGCCGAUGCCCUGCAUCCGAUUGGCUGCCAAGGAAUCCACCAACACGUCCCAAUACACGUCUGUAUCCCACAUCAUGAGCUCCUCGAAGGUGAGCAGCUGGCCCAGCCUCGCCAUGUAGCACACGGUCUUGGUAGUGGAGAUGUUGUCAUUGUCAUUGCAGUCGAAGGUGUGGAGCAUAGGGCGUGAGCACCGGCAUGAUGGUGUGCGCCAGCUCGUCGAACUCGGAGGCCCGCUGACAUUUGCAUCGAUGGCCAGCAGCAGAAGGACUCCUCACCCGACGGUCGCAAGCUUAGGGGGUGGAGCGGGGCAUCGAGCUUGAGAUCUCUUGGCACUUGUCACGUCAUCACUGACUCAGACCAGAAGAGUUCUGUUGUGUUCGGUGUCACGCCCUCCACAGCCUGCGAUGGUGAUCACGAUGCCCCUGCGGAACGACGCGCUGAUACGUCUCCGUCGUAUCUAUAAUUUUUGAUUGUUCCAUGCCAAUAUUCUACAACUUUCAUAUACUUUUUGGCAACUUUUUAUAUUAUUUUUGGGACUAACAUAUUGAUCCAGUGUCCAGUGCCA